GAAGAAUAUAGAUAUAAAGAAAUAUAGAUAAUGAUAAUCUCAAAGGGUCUAGUGGGAGUGGUUUGAAAGUGAAAUGCCUUCAGGGGUCCUGCUUUUGAACACUUGAAAAGUUCCUAGUAUAACAGGAUGUUUCUUAGUGAUCUUCUCUCUCCCUACCACCCCGAGAAACCUCAGCUCCUCCUACUUAAGUCUCCUCCUAGUUUGUUGGGUAUGCUUACACCUAUUCACAUUGGCUACCUUCGACUACAGAUGCCUUUCCUGCCUGGUUGUUCUUGGUGAGAUUCUCCGUCUCCAAUAUGCACCUUAGAACAUCUUGGCUCCCAGACUGCUGCUGUGUCCUCCCCAAAGCAUGCCAAUCAAAGCCCUCAGCAGGUUACAGUGCAGCUGAGCAGAUGACGGUGCCUUUCUCUUGGAUUUUCCAGUCCUGUGGGUCAAAUAAACAUGUGCUCUGAUUAAA
Non-coding RNA from Rattus norvegicus (Norway rat), 457 nucleotides. The record is from RefSeq and is a predicted model, not a curated record. NCBI's taxonomy places the organism in Eukaryota, Metazoa, Chordata, Mammalia, Rodentia, Muridae.